UGCAACGCGAAAAACCUUACCCACCUUUGACAUGUACGGAAUUUUCCAGAGAUGGAUUAGUGCUCGAAAGAGAGCCGUAACACAGGUGCUGCAUGGCUGUCGUCAGCUCGUGUCGUGAGAUGUUGGGUUAAGUCCCGCAACGAGCGCAACCCUUGUCAUUAGUUGCUACAUUUAGUUGGGCACUCUAAUGAGACUGCCGGUGACAAACCGGAGGAAGGUGGGGAUGACGUCAAGUCCUCAUGGCCCUUAUAGGUGGGGCUACACACGUCAUACAAUGGCUGGUACAAAGGGUUGCCAACCCGCGAGGGGGAGCUAAUCCCAUAAAGCCAGUCGUAGUCCGGAUCGCAGUCUGCAACUCGACUGCGUGAAGUCGGAAUCGCUAGUAAUCGU
This 390-nucleotide ribosomal RNA is filed under the name unidentified activated sludge bacterium AI312. RNAcentral describes it as "bacterial SSU rRNA". It matches the Rfam family "Bacterial small subunit ribosomal RNA", at positions 955 to 1345 of the family's 1533-position model. The record is from RNAcentral.